Molecule: ribosomal RNA, 253 nt
Filed under: uncultured microorganism
Description: partial 16S ribosomal RNA
Rfam family: Bacterial small subunit ribosomal RNA
Source: RNAcentral
UACGAAGGGUGCAAGCGUUAAUCGGAAUUACUGGGCGUAAAGCGCGCGUAGGUGGUUCAGUAAGUUGGUAGUGAAAUCCCCGGGCUCAACCUGGGAACUGCUUUCAAAACUGCUGAGCUAGAGUACGGUAGAGGGUGGUGGAAUUUCCUGUGUAGCGGUGAAAUGCGUAGAUAUAGGAAGGAACACCAGUGGCGAAGGCGACCACCUGGACUGAUACUGACACUGAGGUGCGAAAGCGUGGGGAGCAACCAGG